UACGGAGGGUGCGAGCGUUGUCCGGAAUCACUGGGCGUAAAGGCGCGUAGGCGGCCUGAUAAGUAGGGGUGAAAUCCUGCGGCUUAACCGCAGGGCUGCCUUCUAAACUGUCAGGCUUGAGCACAGUAGAGGCAGGUGGAAUUCCCGGUGUAGCGGUGGAAUGCGUAGAGAUCGGGAAGAACAUCAGUGGCGAAGGCGGCCUGCUGGGCUGUUGCUGACGCUGAGGCGCGACAGCGUGGGGAGCAAACAGG
RNAcentral lists this ribosomal RNA (251 nucleotides) under uncultured bacterium. RNAcentral's name for it is "partial 16S ribosomal RNA". It matches the Rfam family "Bacterial small subunit ribosomal RNA", at positions 524 to 776 of the family's 1533-position model. The record is from RNAcentral.